UGUAAGCGUAUACCAAAGUUGUUGCAGUUAAAACGCUCGUAGUCGGAAUUUGGCAGUUCCGGAAGUGUGCACGUCGUGUGCGCACUUUGCGGGGACUGCUUUUGUGGUCUUGCGUAGGAUGAGGCACUUUCAGUAGUGAACGUCCUCACGCAACCACUCUUUACUGUGAGAAAAUCAGAGUGCUCAAAGCAGGCAUUUGCCGUGAAUGUAUUAGCAUGGAAUAAUAGAAUAGGACUCGGUUCUAUUUUGUUGGUUUGUUGGGACUGAGUAAUGAUUAAGAGGGACAGUUGGGGGCAUUUGUAUUCCGGCGCUAGAGGUGAAAUUCUUAGAUUGCCGGAAGACAAACUGCUGCGAAAGCGUCUGCCAAGGAUGUUUUCAUUGA
This 382-nucleotide ribosomal RNA is filed under the name uncultured eukaryote. RNAcentral's name for it is "partial 18S ribosomal RNA". It matches the Rfam family "Eukaryotic small subunit ribosomal RNA", at positions 592 to 976 of the family's 1831-position model. The record is from RNAcentral.